GAUGAACGCUGGCGGCGUGCCUAAUACAUGCAAGUCGAGCGAACAGACGAGGAGCUUGCUCCUCUGACGUUAGCGGCGGACGGGUGAGUAACACGUGGAUAACCUACCUAUAAGACUGGGAUAACUUCGGGAAACCGGGGCUAAUACCGGAUAAUAUAUUGAACCGCAUGGUUCAAUAGUGAAAGACGGUUUUGCUGUCACUUAUAGAUGGAUCCGCGCCGCAUUAGCUAGUUGGUAAGGUAACGGCUUACCAAGGCAACGAUGCGUAGCCGACCUGAGAGGGUGAUCGGCCACACUGGAACUGAGACACGGUCCAGACUCCUACGGGAGGCAGCAGUAGGGAAUCUUCCGCAAUGGGCGAAAGCCUGACGGAGCAACGCCGCGUGAGUGAUGAAGGUCUUCGGAUCGUAAAACUCUGUUAUUAGGGAAGAACAAAUGUGUCAGUAACUAUGCACGUCUUGACGGUACCUAAUCAGAAAGCCACGGCUAACUACGUG
RNAcentral lists this ribosomal RNA (497 nucleotides) under uncultured bacterium. RNAcentral describes it as "partial 16S ribosomal RNA". It matches the Rfam family "Bacterial small subunit ribosomal RNA", at positions 28 to 507 of the family's 1533-position model. The record is from RNAcentral.